AUUGAACGCUGGCGGCAUGCUUUACACAUGCAAGUCGAACGGCAGCGCGGGUUUCGGCCUGGCGGCGAGUGGCGAACGGGUGAGUAAUACAUCGGAACGUGCCCAGUAGUGGGGGAUAGCUCGGCGAAAGCCGGAUUAAUACCGCAUACGACCUGAGGGUGAAAGCGGGGGAUCUUCGGACCUCGCGCUAUUGGAGCGUCCGAUGGCAGAUUAGCUAGUUGGUGGGGUAAAGGCCUACCAAGGCGACGAUCUGUAGCUGGUCUGAGAGGACGACCAGCCACACUGGGACUGAGACACGGCCCAGACUCCUACGGGAGGCAGCAGUGGGGAAUUUUGGACAAUGGGCGAAAGCCUGAUCCAGCAAUGCCGCGUGUGUGAUGAAGGCCUUCGGGUUGUAAAGCACUUUUGGCGGGAACGAAAAGGACUGUGCCAAUACCACGGUUCGAUGACGGUACCCGCAGAAUAAGCACCGGCUAACUACGUG
RNAcentral lists this ribosomal RNA (484 nucleotides) under uncultured bacterium. RNAcentral describes it as "partial 16S ribosomal RNA". It matches the Rfam family "Bacterial small subunit ribosomal RNA", at positions 30 to 507 of the family's 1533-position model. The record is from RNAcentral.